GACGAACGCUGGCGGCGUGCUUAACACAUGCAAGUCGAACGGAAAGGCCCCCUUGUGGGGUACUCGAGUGGCGAACGGGUGAGUAACACGUGAGUAACCUACCCUUGACUUUGGGAUAACUUCAGGAAACUGGGGCUAAUACCGGAUAGGAGCUCCUGCUGCAUGGUGGGGGUUGGAAAGUUUCGGCGGUUGGGGAUGGACUCGCGGCUUAUCAGCUUGUUGGUGGGGUAGUGGCUCACCAAGGCUUUGACGGGUAGCCGGCCUGAGAGGGUGACCGGCCACAUUGGGACUGAGAUACGGCCCAGACUCCUACGGGAGGCAGCAGUGGGGAAUAUUGCACAAUGGGCGGAAGCCUGAUGCAGCAACGCCGCGUGCGGGAUGACGGCCUUCGGGUUGUAAACCGCUUUCGCCUGUGACGAAGCGUGAGUGGCGGUAAUGGGUAAAGAAGCACCGGCUAACUACGUG
This 465-nucleotide ribosomal RNA is filed under the name uncultured bacterium. Its description in RNAcentral is "partial 16S ribosomal RNA". It matches the Rfam family "Bacterial small subunit ribosomal RNA", at positions 28 to 507 of the family's 1533-position model. The record is from RNAcentral.